Molecule: ribosomal RNA, 483 nt
Filed under: uncultured bacterium
Lineage: Bacteria
Description: partial 16S ribosomal RNA
Rfam family: Bacterial small subunit ribosomal RNA
Source: RNAcentral
UUGAACGCUGGCGGCAGGCCUAACACAUGCAAGUCGAGCGGAUGAAGGGAGCUUGCUCCUGGAUUCAGCGGCGGACGGGUGAGUAAUGCCUAGGAAUCUGCCUGGUAGUGGGGGAUAACGUCCGGAAACGGGCGCUAAUACCGCAUACGUCCUGAGGGAGAAAGUGGGGGAUCUUCGGACCUCACGCUAUCAGAUGAGCCUAGGUCGGAUUAGCUAGUUGGUGGGGUAAAGGCCUACCAAGGCGACGAUCCGUAACUGGUCUGAGAGGAUGACCAGUCACACUGGAACUGAGACACGGUCCAGACUCCUACGGGAGGCAGCAGUGGGGAAUAUUGGACAAUGGGCGAAAGCCUGAUCCAGCCAUGCCGCGUGUGUGAAGAAGGUCUUCGGAUUGUAAAGCACUUUAAGUUGGGAGGAAGAGCAGUAAGUUAAUACCUUGCUGUUUUGACGUUACCAACAGAAUAAGCACCGGCUAACUUCGUG